ACUCAAAGGAAUAGACGGGGGCCCGCACAAGCGGUGGAGCAUGUGGUUUAAUUCGAUGCAACGCGAAGAACCUUACCUGGGUUAGACAAUAGGAGACAUCCCUAGAGAUAGGGCUUUGCCUUCGGGCACUCCUAGUUUAGGUGCUGCAUGGCUGUCGUCAGCUCGUAUCGUGAGAUGUCGGGUUAAGUCCCUUAACGAGCGCAACCCUUAUCCUUAGUUGCCAUCAUUCAGUUGGGCACUCUAAGGAGACCGCCGGUGUUAAACCGGAGGAAGGCGGGGAUGACGUCAAGUCCUCAUGGCCCUUAUGUCCAGGGCUACACACGUGCUACAAUGGCAGGUACAAAGGGUAGCCAACCCGCGAGGGGGAGCUAAUCUCAGAAAGCCUGUCUCAGUUCGGAUUGAAGUCUGCAACUCGACUUCAUGAAGCUGGAAUCGCUAGUAAUCGCGGAUCAGAACGCCGCGGUGAAUACGUUCCCGGGCCUUGCACACACCGCCCGU
Molecule: ribosomal RNA, 498 nt
Filed under: uncultured bacterium
Lineage: Bacteria
Description: partial 16S ribosomal RNA
Rfam family: Bacterial small subunit ribosomal RNA
Source: RNAcentral